This 73-nucleotide transfer RNA is filed under the name Nitrosomonas cryotolerans. RNAcentral's name for it is "tRNA_Asn_GTT". It matches the Rfam family "tRNA". Rfam says of the family: Transfer RNA (tRNA) molecules are approximately 80 nucleotides in length. RNAcentral also lists the same sequence under 1 other name. The record is from RNAcentral. Lineage: Bacteria; Pseudomonadati; Pseudomonadota; Betaproteobacteria; Nitrosomonadales; Nitrosomonadaceae.
UCCCUGAUAGCUCAGUUGGUAGAGCGACGGACUGUUAAUCCGCAGGUCCCAGGUUCGAGCCCUGGUCGGGGAG